UUGAAUGGCCGCGGUAUUUUGACCGUGCUAAGGUAGCAUAAUCAUUAGUUUUUUAAUUGAAAGCUGGAAUGAAGGGUUGGAUGAAAAAAAAUCUGUCUCUAUUAAAUUAAAAUAGAAUUUUAUUUUUAAGUUCAAAAGCUUAAAUUAUUUUAAAAGACGAGAAGACCCUUUAGAGUUUUAUAAUUUUAAUUUUGUUUUUAUUUGGUAUUAAUUUAAAAAUAAUAAUGAAAUUAUUUAGUUGGGGUGAUUUAAAAAUUUAAUAAACUUUUUUUUAUUUAAAUAUAAAUUUAUAGAUAAUUGAUCCAAUAUUUUUGAUUAUAAGAUAAAAUUACCUUAGGGAUAACAGCGUAAUUUUAUUAGAGAGUU
RNAcentral lists this ribosomal RNA (366 nucleotides) under Hespera cyanea. Its description in RNAcentral is "partial 16S ribosomal RNA". Lineage: Eukaryota; Metazoa; Arthropoda; Insecta; Coleoptera; Chrysomelidae. The record is from RNAcentral.